RNAcentral lists this unclassified non-coding RNA (522 nucleotides) under Hevea brasiliensis (rubber tree). The record is from RNAcentral. Lineage: Eukaryota; Viridiplantae; Streptophyta; Magnoliopsida; Malpighiales; Euphorbiaceae.
ACAAAUAGUCCUACCAGUUUUUUACAAAGUAGAUCCCACUGAGGUUCAAGACCUGACAGGGAAUUUCGGGAAGGCACUUGCUAUGCAUGGAGAAAAAGGCAAUUCACAGAAGGUGGACAGCUGGAAGCGUGCUUUGAUGGAGGUAAGCAACUUUGCAGGAUGGGAUUUACAGGAAAUCAAGUAAGUAUAUUACUUUUUAAUUACUCUUUACUGUAGUUUUUCUAGUUUUCAAUUUAAGGGAAGGGAAUCAAAAUUUAGAAAUUUUUAACUGAGUACAUUAAUCUUAACACAAAGCACCAAUUCAAACAUAGACAGCACUUAUACGGAAAACAUAGUAAUUAUAUAUUACUGUUUACUUAGAAGUGUAAGUCUACCAUUACUUACUAGUGUUUGUUGUUCACAUGUGACUAGAUAUGAGGCCAAAUUGGUUGAGGGAAUUGUCAAUGAUGUUCUGAAAAAAUUUAGUGAUAUGUCUAAAGGUGAUGAUUCUUAUGAUCUCAACUUGAUUGGAAUUAAACUGCG